This 242-nucleotide long non-coding RNA is filed under the name Setaria italica (foxtail millet). RNAcentral's name for it is "long non-coding RNA (SITA_LNC003563)". Lineage: Eukaryota; Viridiplantae; Streptophyta; Magnoliopsida; Poales; Poaceae. The record is from RNAcentral.
AUUUGGCCUGCGUCAUUGCCCUUGCCAGUACUGGAAAUUUGAUCUUCAAUUCUAACAGAAGCUUUUUGUUUCAAAAAAAUCUAACAGAAGCUUACUCAGCUUGAUUUUCAGGACGGAUUCAGUGAUAAACUUGGUAAACUUCUGAACCCCAUAGUUAAGUACUGUGAGGCUGUUGUUUUCACGGUUUCAAGUUUUUAACCCAUCAGUUUGGCCUAGGCAAAAGAUGCCUUCGAACCCAAAUC